This 323-nucleotide unclassified non-coding RNA is filed under the name uncultured fungus. Its description in RNAcentral is "partial contains 5.8S ribosomal RNA, internal transcribed spacer 2, and large subunit ribosomal RNA". Lineage: Eukaryota; Fungi. The record is from RNAcentral.
AACGCACCUUGCACCUUUUGGUUAUUCCGAAAGGUACACCUGUUUGAAUGUCACGAAACCCCCCUCGGCUCUAAUGCUUUCUAAAAGGAUUUGAGACGGAUUCUGAGUGUUGGCGUGAUAACGCCUCGCUUUAAAUAGAUCAGCACUUUUGGAUGGUUUAAUAUUAGUUCAAAAGACGUACUUGAUGUUGUAUUUAUAUUUCGUUGAGGCAGUCUUUGGUCGUUCCGACUAUCCGCUAAUAUGACGACUUGAAGAAUAGCUUCCUAACCCUAUGAAUUUAACCUUUAGACUUCAAAUCAGGUGGGACUACCCGCUGAACUUAA